RNAcentral lists this ribosomal RNA (470 nucleotides) under uncultured bacterium. RNAcentral's name for it is "partial 16S ribosomal RNA". It matches the Rfam family "Bacterial small subunit ribosomal RNA", at positions 328 to 795 of the family's 1533-position model. The record is from RNAcentral.
UGCCCAGACUCCUACGGGAGGCAGCAGUGAGGAAUAUUGGUCAAUGGGCGGAAGCCUGAACCAGCCAAGUCGCGUGAGGGAAUAAGGCCCUACGGGUCGUAAACCUCUUUUGCCGGGGAGCAAGGGCGGGGACGUGUCCCGGCCCGGAGAGUACCCGGAGAAAAAGCAUCGGCUAACUCCGUGCCAGCAGCCGCGGUAAUACGGAGGAUGCGAGCGUUAUCCGGAUUUAUUGGGUUUAAAGGGUGCGUAGGGGGGUUUUGAGGGGGGGGGGGAAAGCGGGGGGCCCAACCCCGCCGAGCCGUCGGAACUGGGGGCCUUGAGUGCGGCGGAGGCAUGCGGAAUGCGCGGUGUAGCGGUGAAAUGCAUAGAUAUCGCGCAGAACCCCGAUUGCGAAGGCAGCGUGCCGUGCCGCCACUGACGCUGAGGCACGAAAGCGCGGGGAUCGAACAGGAUUAGAUACCCCUGUAAGC